Molecule: transfer RNA, 61 nt
Filed under: Candidozyma auris
Lineage: Eukaryota; Fungi; Ascomycota; Pichiomycetes; Serinales; Metschnikowiaceae
Description: tRNA-Glu
Source: RNAcentral
UGGAGAAUAGAGUUAUAAUUCUUUCUUUUUUCGAAAGAAAAUAAAUGAGAAUUUUCCUUUU